RNAcentral lists this small nucleolar RNA (107 nucleotides) under Olea europaea subsp. europaea. RNAcentral's name for it is "Plant small nucleolar RNA R71". It matches the Rfam family "Plant small nucleolar RNA R71". From Rfam's summary of the family: R71 is a member of the C/D box family of snoRNAs containing the C (UGAUGA) and D (CUGA) box motifs. Multiple nearly identical copies of this snoRNA have been identified in Arabidopsis, and it is thought to function as a 2'-O-ribose methylation guide for 18S ribosomal RNA. The record is from Rfam by way of RNAcentral. Lineage: Eukaryota; Viridiplantae; Streptophyta; Magnoliopsida; Lamiales; Oleaceae.
AUACCAUGAUUUGGACACUUUCUCAUAAGCUCCUUAAAGCUGUUCCAUGCCUCAUGAUAGCUCUCCACAUCUCUCUAUUGGAAGGUUUGGAUUUUCAAUUUGAUUUU